Pan paniscus (pygmy chimpanzee) is the source of this 476-nucleotide long non-coding RNA. The record is from Ensembl. Lineage: Eukaryota; Metazoa; Chordata; Mammalia; Primates; Hominidae.
AUUACAUGUUAGGGAAAGGAGAAUAUACGACUUAGAGGAAAACACAAGACUGUUGUUAUAGUUUUACAAAGUGGAGCAACUUCACGGGUGAUAGUGCGGAGCUGUUGCUGAAUAUUAUGAAAAUGCUGCAGUUUGUCAUAUGCUGUGUAUUGCUGCCUCACAGAGAUUAUUAUAAGCAGAGGUCACUUUGUGUGUUGAUGAGGACUGUAUAUGGGUGAGAAGCCCCAGGUGAGGCUGGAUGAUUGGAGUACAAGCUGCAGUAACAAGACCCAUACUCUAUCAUCUGUAAAGGGAGUCCAUGAAGAACUAAGACACGGAAGCUGGAGGCACAGAACUGGUUGGGAAAAAGCGCAGAUUCAUGACCUGAUUUAAAAAAUAGGAAUCACGAGGGCAUAGAUAUGAGAAAGCAGUUCCAAGGCCAUCAAGCGUUCAAAAACUGAAUGACUGAGGAGGACAGAGAUAGGUGAGUGGUCAAA